This 449-nucleotide ribosomal RNA is filed under the name uncultured bacterium. RNAcentral describes it as "bacterial SSU rRNA". It matches the Rfam family "Bacterial small subunit ribosomal RNA", at positions 329 to 795 of the family's 1533-position model. The record is from RNAcentral.
GGCCAGACUCCUACGGGAGGCAGCAGUGGGGAAUAUUGCACAAUGGGGGAAACCCUGAUGCAGCGACGCCGCGUGAGUGAAGAAGUAAUUCGUUAUGUAAAGCUCUAUCAGCAGGGAAGAAACAGACGGUACCUGACUAAGAAGCCCCGGCUAACUACGUGCCAGCAGCCGCGGUAAUACGUAGGGGGCAAGCGUUAUCCGGAGUUACUGGGUGUAAAGGGGGCGCAGACGGCAGCGCAAGCCAGGAGUGAAAGCCCGGGGCCCAACCCCGGGACUGCUCUUGGAACUGCGGGGCUGGAGUGCAGGAGGGGCAGGCGGAAUUCCUGGUGUAGCGGUGAAAUGCGUAGAUAUCAGGAGGAACACCGGUGGCGAAGGCGGCCUGCUGGACUGCAACUGACGUUGAGGCCCGAAAGCGUGGGGAGCAAACAGGAUUAGAUACCCUCGUAUAC